Molecule: unclassified non-coding RNA, 320 nt
Filed under: Hevea brasiliensis (rubber tree)
Lineage: Eukaryota; Viridiplantae; Streptophyta; Magnoliopsida; Malpighiales; Euphorbiaceae
Source: RNAcentral
GGAACAGGAGGGAAACACGAGAAAGGGAAAAAGAAAAUCUUGUAGUGAGGAAGGAAAAAAAUUCCACGAAGAGAAGCCAAAAAAACUUAUGAUUAUAUUCUCUAUCUAGUUUUGCUCGGACAUAGGCAAUGCAGAUCUAAAGCUAAGAUACCAAAUUGAUGUAAAAACGCAAAAAACACUCAAAGGGGAAAAGAAAUGAACUCUCAAAUCUAUUAGUUCUCAAUUGUUAUUAUCAAUAAUGAUAAGCUCUACUAAAAUGCCUAGAUGACAUAGGUAUUUAUAAUAUGAUAACUAGUCCUAUAGUAAAAAAAUACUAAAUC